UAAUCACUCAAAACUCACAACAAUCAAGCUUAACUCCAUCGUCUACUAGUAUAUUCGAGCUUGUAUCGCGUUGGACAAAGCUUGGUUCGGUGUAUUGUUGCUUGAUUUGGACUCCGGAAGCUAGGGUUUGCACAAUCUCCUUGAUUUCGGUUUGGAUACUUGAGGUGCUAACCCGGGACCAUAGCUUGCAUUGCUUGGCGUGCUUGGAGUGUGGACAUUAUUUUUGAAAGCUAACCGAAGG
Rhododendron vialii is the source of this 241-nucleotide long non-coding RNA. RefSeq lists it as uncharacterized. The record is from RefSeq and is a predicted model, not a curated record. The transcript has 2 exons. Lineage: Eukaryota; Viridiplantae; Streptophyta; Magnoliopsida; Ericales; Ericaceae.